AGUGGCGGACGGGUGGGUAACGCGUAUGAAUCUAGGUAGGAGUGGGGGACAACAGUUGGAAACGACUGCUAUUACCGGGUAAUCCCUGAGGGGGAAAGGAGGGGAUCUGUUUACAGAUCUCUAUUUGAGUAGCCUGCGUGAGAGUAGCUAGUUGGUGAGGUAAUGGCUCAUCAAGGCGACGAUCUCUAUCUGGUCUGAGAGGAUGAUGAGCCACUCUGGAACUGAGACACGGUCCAGACUCCUACGGGAGGCAGCAGUGGGGAAUAUUGCACAAUGGGGGAAACCCUGAUGCAGCCAUGCCGCGUGUGUGAAGAAGGCCUUCGGGUUGUAAAGCACUUUCAGCGAGGAGGAAAGGAGUAGGUUUAAUAAACCUGCUCUGUGACGUUACUCGCAGAAGAAGCACCGGCUAACUCCGUGCCAGCAGCCGCGGUAAUACGGAGGGUGCAAGCGUUAAUCGGAAUUACUGGGCGUAGAGCGCGCGUAGGUGGCUUGUUAAGUGGAAUGUGAAAGCCCUGGGCUCAACCUAGGAAUUGCAUCCCAAACUGGCAGACUAGAGUACAAGAGAGGGGUGUGGAAUUUCCUGUGUAGCGGUGAAAUGCGUAGAUAUAGGAAGGGACAUCAGUGGCGAAGGCGACGCCCUGCUUGAUACUGACACUGAGGUGCGAAGCGUGAGGAGCAAACAGGAUUAAAUACCCUGG
Molecule: ribosomal RNA, 698 nt
Filed under: uncultured bacterium
Lineage: Bacteria
Description: bacterial SSU rRNA
Rfam family: Bacterial small subunit ribosomal RNA
Source: RNAcentral